RNAcentral lists this ribosomal RNA (253 nucleotides) under uncultured bacterium. Its description in RNAcentral is "partial 16S ribosomal RNA". It matches the Rfam family "Bacterial small subunit ribosomal RNA", at positions 524 to 776 of the family's 1533-position model. The record is from RNAcentral.
UACAGAGGGUGCAAGCGUUAAUCGGAAUUACUGGGCGUAAAGCGUACGUAGGCGGUUAUCUAAGUCGGGUGUGAAAGCCCCGGGCUCAACCUGGGAAUUGCAUUCGAUACUGGGUAGCUAGAGUUCGGCAGAGGGAAGCGGAAUUUCCGGUGUAGCGGUGAAAUGCGUAGAUAUCGGAAGGAACAUCAGUGGCGAAAGCGGCUUCCUGGACCAGAACUGACGCUCAGGUACGAAAGCGUGGGGAGCAAACAGG